UACAGAGGUCCCGAGCGUUGUUCGGAUUUAUUGGGCGUAAAGGGUGCGUAGGUGGCAAAGUAAGUUGGAUGUGAAAUCCUGGGGCUUAACCUCAGAAUUGCAUUCAAUACUGCUUAGCUAGAGAGCUGUAGAGGAGACUGGAAUUUACGGUGUAGCAGUGAAAUGCGUAGAUAUCGUAAGGAACGCCAGUGGCGAAGGCGGCUCUCUGGUACGUGACUGACGCUGAGACGCGAAAGCGUGGGGAGCAAACAGG
RNAcentral lists this ribosomal RNA (253 nucleotides) under uncultured bacterium. Its description in RNAcentral is "partial 16S ribosomal RNA". It matches the Rfam family "Bacterial small subunit ribosomal RNA", at positions 524 to 776 of the family's 1533-position model. The record is from RNAcentral.